RNAcentral lists this ribosomal RNA (414 nucleotides) under Pseudomonas sp. faro4_6C. RNAcentral describes it as "bacterial SSU rRNA". It matches the Rfam family "Bacterial small subunit ribosomal RNA", at positions 76 to 483 of the family's 1533-position model. The record is from RNAcentral. Lineage: Bacteria; Pseudomonadati; Pseudomonadota; Gammaproteobacteria; Pseudomonadales; Pseudomonadaceae.
GAGCUUGCUCCUUGGGUGGCGAGUGGCGGACGGGUGAGGAAUACAUCGGAAUCUACUCUGUCGUGGGGGAUAACGUAGGGAAACUUACGCUAAUACCGCAUACGACCUACGGGUGAAAGCAGGGGAUCUUCGGACCUUGCGCGAUUGAAUGAGCCGAUGUCGGAUUAGCUAGUUGGCGGGGUAAAGGCCCACCAAGGCGACGAUCCGUAGCUGGUCUGAGAGGAUGAUCAGCCACACUGGAACUGAGACACGGUCCAGACUCCUACGGGAGGCAGCAGUGGGGAAUAUUGGACAAUGGGCGCAAGCCUGAUCCAGCCAUACCGCGUGGGUGAAGAAGGCCUUCGGGUUGUAAAGCCCUUUUGUUGGGAAAGAAAUCCAGCUGGCUAAUACCUGGUUGGGAUGACGGUACCCAAA